UUCUUUUGCCAGGUUUCUCACAGUGAAGAC
RNAcentral lists this non-coding RNA (30 nucleotides) under Rattus norvegicus (Norway rat). Lineage: Eukaryota; Metazoa; Chordata; Mammalia; Rodentia; Muridae. The record is from RNAcentral.